CAGCCGCCGCGGUAAUACAGAGGGUGCUAGCGUUGAUCGGAUUUACUGGGCGUAAAGCGUGCGUAGGCGGCUUCUUAAGUCGGAUGUGAAAUCCCUGAGCUUAACUUAGGAAUUGCAUUCGAUACUGGGAAGCUAGAGUAUGGGAGAGGAUGGUAGAAUUCCAGGUGUAGCGGUGAAAUGCGUAGAGAUCUGGAGGAAUACCGAUGGCGAAGGCAGCCGUCUGGCCUAAUACUGACGCUGAGGUACGAAAGCAUGGGGAGCAAACAGGAUUAGAUACCCGUGUAGUCCCUGUCUCUUAUAC
Molecule: ribosomal RNA, 301 nt
Filed under: uncultured bacterium
Lineage: Bacteria
Description: partial 16S ribosomal RNA
Rfam family: Bacterial small subunit ribosomal RNA
Source: RNAcentral